UGGGGAAUAUUGCACAAUGGGGGAAACCCUGAUGCAGCGACGCCGCGUGAACGAAGAAGGUAUUCGUAUCGUAAAGUUCUGUCCUAUGGGAAGAUAAUGACAGUACCAUAGAAGAAAGCUCCGGCUAAAUACUUGCCAGCAGCCGCGGUAAUACGUAUGGAGCGAGCGUUGUCCGUAAUUAUUGGGCGUAAAGGGUACGCAGGCGGUUUAAUAAGUCGAAUGUUAAAGAUCGGGGCUCAACCCCGCAAAGCAUUGGAAACUCAUAAAGUUGAGUAGUGGAGAGGAAAGUGGAAUUCCUAGUGUAGUGGUGAAAUACGUAGAUAUUAGGAGGAAUACCAGUAGCGAAGGCGACUUUCUGGACACAAACUGACGCUGAGGUACGAAAGCGUGGGGAGCAAACAGG
Molecule: ribosomal RNA, 403 nt
Filed under: bacterium
Lineage: Bacteria
Description: partial 16S ribosomal RNA
Rfam family: Bacterial small subunit ribosomal RNA
Source: RNAcentral